This 373-nucleotide unclassified non-coding RNA is filed under the name soil metagenome. RNAcentral describes it as "partial contains 5.8S ribosomal RNA, internal transcribed spacer 2, and large subunit ribosomal RNA". The stretch from base 1 to 120 matches the Rfam family "5.8S ribosomal RNA", at positions 35 to 154 of the family's 154-position model. The record is from RNAcentral.
GAUGAAGAACGCAGCGAAAUGCGAUAAGUAAUGUGAAUUGCAGAAUUCAGUGAAUCAUCGAAUCUUUGAACGCACAUUGCGCCCGCCAGUAUUCUGGCGGGCAUGCCUGUUCGAGCGUCAUUACAACCCUCAAGCCCCCCGGCUUGGUGUUGGGGACCGGCCACCGGUGCCCUGCUGCUUCCGCGGCAGGCGCACCCGGCCGCCCCCGAAAUGAAUUGGCGGCCCCGUCGCGGCCUCACUCUGCGUAGUAGCACACAUCUCGCAGCUGGAGCGCGGCGCGGCCACUGCCGUAAAACGCACCAACUUUUUUUACAGUUGACCUCGAAUCAGGUAGGAAUACCCGCUGAACUUAAGCAUAUCAAUAAGCGGAGGA